GAUGAAGAACGUAGCUAAAUGCGAUAAGUAAUGUGAAUUGCAGAAUUCAGUGAAUCAUCGAAUCUUUGAACGCACCUUGCGCCCUUUGGCUAUUCCGAAGGGCAUGCCUGUUUGAGUAUCAUGAACACCUCAACCCUCAUGGUUUGCCAUGAUGGGCUUGGACUUUGGGGGUCUUGCUGGAUUGUAGUCAGCUCCCCUUAAAUGAAUCAGCUUGCCAGUGUUUGGUGGCAUCACAGGUGUGAUAAAUAUCUACGCUUGUGGUUUUACAUCAGAUAACCUUCAGUGAUGGAGGUUCACUGGAGCUCAUAAAGGUGUCUCUCCUCUGUGAGGACAGCUCUUUGAAUGUUUGAUCUCAAAUCAGGCAGGACUACCCGCUGAACUUAAGCAUAUCAAUAAGCGGAGGA
RNAcentral lists this unclassified non-coding RNA (404 nucleotides) under soil metagenome. Its description in RNAcentral is "partial contains 5.8S ribosomal RNA, internal transcribed spacer 2, and large subunit ribosomal RNA". The stretch from base 1 to 121 matches the Rfam family "5.8S ribosomal RNA", at positions 35 to 154 of the family's 154-position model. The record is from RNAcentral.